UACAGAGGUCCCAAGCGUUGUUCGGAUUCACUGGGCGUAAAGGGUGCGUAGGUGGCCAGGUAAGUUCGAUGUGAAAUCUCCGAGCUUAACUCGGAAAGUGCAUUGAAUACUAUCUGGCUAGAGGGUUGGAGGGGGGACUGGAAUUCUCGGUGUAGCAGUGAAAUGCGUAGAUAUCGAGAGGAACACCAGUGGCGAAGGCGAGUCCCUGGACAACUCCUGACACUGAGGCACGAAAGCUAGGGGAGCAAACAGG
This 253-nucleotide ribosomal RNA is filed under the name uncultured bacterium. RNAcentral's name for it is "partial 16S ribosomal RNA". It matches the Rfam family "Bacterial small subunit ribosomal RNA", at positions 524 to 776 of the family's 1533-position model. The record is from RNAcentral.